This 497-nucleotide ribosomal RNA is filed under the name uncultured bacterium. Its description in RNAcentral is "partial 16S ribosomal RNA". It matches the Rfam family "Bacterial small subunit ribosomal RNA", at positions 28 to 507 of the family's 1533-position model. The record is from RNAcentral.
GAUGAACGCUGGCGGCGUGCCUAAUACAUGCAAGUCGAGCGAACAGACGAGGAGCUUGCUCCUCUGACGUUAGCGGCAGACGGGUGAGUAACACGUGGAUACCCUACCUAUAAGACUGGGAUAACUGCGGGACUCGGGAUAUAAUACGGGAUAAUAUAUUGAACGGCGUGGUUCAGGAGAGAAAGAGGGUUUUGCUGUCAGCUAUAGGUGUAUCCGCGCGGCAGUAGCUAGUUGGUAAGGUAACGGCUUGCCAAGGAGACGAGGCGUAGCCGACCUGAGAGGGUGAGCCGCCACACUGGAAUGGAGGCACGGUCCAGACCUCUGAGGCAGGCAGGAGUAGGGAAUCUGGCAGAAGGGGCGAAUGCCUGACGAUGCAACGCCGCGUGAUGGAUGAAGGCCUCCUGAUCGUAAACCUCUGUUAUGUGGGAAGAACCAUUGUGUAAGUAACUAGGCUCGUCGUGACGGUACCUAAUCAAAAAGCCCCGGCUAACUACGUG